This 453-nucleotide ribosomal RNA is filed under the name uncultured bacterium. Its description in RNAcentral is "SSU rRNA". It matches the Rfam family "Bacterial small subunit ribosomal RNA", at positions 26 to 518 of the family's 1533-position model. The record is from RNAcentral.
AGAACGAACGCUGGCGGCAUGCCUAACACAUGCAAGUCGAACGUGAUCCAGGCUUCGGCCUGGUGAAAGUGGCAGACGGGUGAGUAACGCGUGGGAACCUGCCCUGUGGUAGGGAAUAACCGUGGGAAACUGCGGCUAAUACCCUAUGAGUCCUUCGGGAGAAAGAUUUAUCGCCAUAGGAGGGGCCCGCGUCGGAUUAGGUAGUUGGUGGGGUAACGGCCUACCAAGCCUUCGAUCCGUAGCUGGUCUGAGAGGAUGAUCAGCCACACUGGGACUGAGAUACGGCCCAGACUCCUACGGGAGGCAGCAGUGGGGAAUAUUGGACAAUGGGGGCAACCCUGAUCCAGCAAUGCCGCGUGGAUGAUGAAGGCCUUCGGGUUGUAAAGUCCUUUCGGCGGGAAGAUGAUGACGGUACCCGCAGAAGAGCCCCGCUAACUUCGUGCCAGCAGCCGC